GGGUUGUGAGGUUAAGCGACUAAGCGUACACGGUGGAUGCCCUGGCAGUCAGAGGCGAUGAAGGACGUGCUAAUCUGCGAUAAGCGCCGGUAAGGUGAUAUGAACCGUUAUAACCGGCGAUUUCCGAAUGGGGAAACCCAGUGUGACUCGUCACACUAUCAUUAACUGAAUCCAUAGGUUAAUGAGGCGAACCGGGGGAACUGAAACAUCUAAGUACCCCGAGGAAAAGAAAUCAACCGAGAUUCCCCCAGUAGCGGCGAGCGAACGGGGAGGAGCCCAGAGCCUGAAUCAGCAUGUGUGUUAGUGGAAGCGUCUGGAAAGGCGCGCGAUACAGGGUGACAGCCCCGUACACAAAAGCGCAUGUGCUGUGAGCUCGAUGAGUAGGGCGGGACACGUGGUAUCCUGUCUGAAUAUGGGGGGACCAUCCUCCAAGGCUAAAUACUCCUGACUGACCGAUAGUGAACCAGUACCGUGAGGGAAAGGCGAAAAGAACCCCGGCGAGGGGAGUGAAAAAGAACCUGAAACCGUGUACGUACAAGCAGUGGGAGCACAGGUUUACCUGUGUGACUGCGUACCUUUUGUAUAAUGGGUCAGCGACUUAUAUUCUGUAGCAAGGUUAACCGAAUAGGGGAGCCGGAGGGAAACCGAGUCUUAAUUGGGCGUUAAGUUGCAGGGUAUAGACCCGAAACCCGGUGAUCUAGCCAUGGGCAGGUUGAAGGUUGGGUAACACUAACUGGAGGACCGAACCGACUAAUGUUGAAAAAUUAGCGGAUGACCUGUGGCUGGGGGUGAAAGGCCAAUCAAACCGGGAGAUAGCUGGUUCUCCCCGAAAGCUAUUUAGGUAGCGCCUCGUGAAUUCAUCUCCGGGGGUAGAGCACUGUUUCGGCUAGGGGGCCAUCCCGGCUUACCAACCCGAUGCAAACUGCGAAUACCGGAGAAUGUUAUCACGGGAGACACACGGCGGGUGCUAACGUCCGUCGUGAAGAGGGAAACAACCCAGACCGCCAGCUAAGGUCCCAAAGUCAUGGUUAAGUGGGAAACGAUGUGGGAAGGCCCAGACAGCCAGGAUGUUGGCUUAGAAGCAGCCAUCAUUUAAAGAAAGCGUAAUAGCUCACUGGUCGAGUCGGCCUGCGCGGAAGAUGUAACGGGGCUAAACCAUGCACCGAAGCUGCGGCAGCGAACGUAUCACUUAAAGCGAUUCAGCGGGUUACGAUUGACGGAGCGAAGCGACGUCAAAGCGUAUACAAAGUCGAGUCGGUUUAAGGAUACGUUCGUUGGGUAGGGGAGCGUUCUGUAAGCCUGUGAAGGUGUGUCGUGAGGCAUGCUGGAGGUAUCAGAAGUGCGAAUGCUGACAUAAGUAACGAUAAAGCGGGUGAAAAGCCCGCUCGCCGGAAGACCAAGGGUUCCUGUCCAACGUUAAUCGGGGCAGGGUGAGUCGACCCCUAAGGCGAGGCCGAAAGGCGUAGUCGAUGGGAAACGGGUUAAUAUUCCCGUACUUGGUGUUACUGCGAAGGGGGGACGGAGAAGGCUAUGUUGGCCGGGCGACGGUUGUCCCGGUUUAAGCGUGUAGGUGGUGUUUCCAGGUAAAUCCGGUUCACUUAAAUCACUGAGGCGUGAUGACGAGGCACUACGGUGCUGAAGCAACAAAUGCCCUGCUUCCAGGAAAAGCCUCUAAGCAUCAGGUAACAUCAAAUCGUACCCCAAACCGACACAGGUGGUCAGGUAGAGAAUACCAAGGCGCUUGAGAGAACUCGGGUGAAGGAACUAGGCAAAAUGGUGCCGUAACUUCGGGAGAAGGCACGCUGACAUGUAGGUGAAGUGAUUUACUCAUGGAGCUGAAGUCAGUCGAAGAUACCAGCUGGCUGCAACUGUUUAUUAAAAACACAGCACUGUGCAAACACGAAAGUGGACGUAUACGGUGUGACGCCUGCCCGGUGCCGGAAGGUUAAUUGAUGGGGUCAGCGCAAGCGAAGCUCCUGAUCGAAGCCCCGGUAAACGGCGGCCGUAACUAUAACGGUCCUAAGGUAGCGAAAUUCCUUGUCGGGUAAGUUCCGACCUGCACGAAUGGCGUAAUGAUGGCCAGGCUGUCUCCACCCGAGACUCAGUGAAAUUGAACUCGCUGUGAAGAUGCAGUGUACCCGCGGCAAGACGGAAAGACCCCGUGAACCUUUACUAUAGCUUGACACUGAACAUUGAGCCUUGAUGUGUAGGAUAGGUGGGAGGCUUUGAAGCGUGGACGCCAGUCUGCGUGGAGCCGACCUUGAAAUACCACCCUUUAAUGUUUGAUGUUCUAACGUGGACCCGUGAUCCGGGUUGCGGACAGUGUCUGGUGGGUAGUUUGACUGGGGCGGUCUCCUCCUAAAGAGUAACGGAGGAGCACGAAGGUUGGCUAAUCCUGGUCGGACAUCAGGAGGUUAGUGCAAUGGCAUAAGCCAGCUUGACUGCGAGCGUGACGGCGCGAGCAGGUGCGAAAGCAGGUCAUAGUGAUCCGGUGGUUCUGAAUGGAAGGGCCAUCGCUCAACGGAUAAAAGGUACUCCGGGGAUAACAGGCUGAUACCGCCCAAGAGUUCAUAUCGACGGCGGUGUUUGGCACCUCGAUGUCGGCUCAUCACAUCCUGGGGCUGAAGUAGGUCCCAAGGGUAUGGCUGUUCGCCAUUUAAAGUGGUACGCGAGCUGGGUUUAGAACGUCGUGAGACAGUUCGGUCCCUAUCUGCCGUGGGCGCUGGAGAACUGAGGGGGGCUGCUCCUAGUACGAGAGGACCGGAGUGGACGCAUCACUGGUGUUCGGGUUGUCAUGCCAAUGGCACUGCCCGGUAGCUAAAUGCGGAAGAGAUAAGUGCUGAAAGCAUCUAAGCACGAAACUUGCCCCGAGAUGAGUUCUCCCUGAGACUUAAAGUCUCCUGAAGGAACGUUGAAGACGACGACGUUGAUAGGCCGGGUGUGUAAGCGCAGCGAUGCGUUGAGCUAACCGGUACUAAUGAACCGUGAGGCUUAACCUUACAACGCCGAAG
Molecule: ribosomal RNA, 3011 nt
Filed under: Salmonella enterica subsp. enterica serovar Infantis
Lineage: Bacteria; Pseudomonadati; Pseudomonadota; Gammaproteobacteria; Enterobacterales; Enterobacteriaceae
Description: bacterial LSU rRNA
Rfam family: Bacterial large subunit ribosomal RNA
Source: RNAcentral